Molecule: long non-coding RNA, 277 nt
Filed under: Elaeis guineensis (African oil palm)
Lineage: Eukaryota; Viridiplantae; Streptophyta; Magnoliopsida; Arecales; Arecaceae
Description: long non-coding RNA (EGUI_LNC060809)
Source: RNAcentral
GAUAGGAUUUUGGCAGACAGUUUAAAAUUGUAUCCUUCCCUAACUACUCAUGCAGAGGAAAGUCGAGCUUGCUCAGACACUCAAUCAUCUCGAUUAUGUAUAGUACAUGAUUAGUGACUGAUGCUCCUUCCCUCAUUCGAGCAUUAAAAAUGGCACAACUUGUCUUCUUCCUCUCAACAUCAUCAGGCAUGCCAAAGGACUCGUUUAACAUUUGCAGCAUGUCCUUUGGUUGAGCAUUCUCAAAUCUAUGGUUGAACUCAUCAUUCACAGCCACCAA